UACGUAGGUCCCGAGCGUUGUCCGGAUUUAUUGGGCGUAAAGCGAGCGCAGGUGGUUUAUUAAGUCUGGUGUAAAAGGCAGUGGCUCAACCAUUGUAUGCAUUGGAAACUGGUAGACUUGAGUGCAGGAGAGGAGAGUGGAAUUCCAUGUGUAGCGGUGAAAUGCGUAGAGAUUAGGAAGAACACCAGUGGCGAAGGCGAUUCUCUGGACUGUGACUGACGCUGAGGCUCGAAAGCGUGGGGAGCAAACAGG
RNAcentral lists this ribosomal RNA (252 nucleotides) under uncultured bacterium. Its description in RNAcentral is "partial 16S ribosomal RNA". It matches the Rfam family "Bacterial small subunit ribosomal RNA", at positions 524 to 776 of the family's 1533-position model. The record is from RNAcentral.